AUGGCAACCGUAGAGCAAGGGAACAGGGAAAGGGCAGACACAAGUCCAUUCACAUGGCUGCCAGCGCUGGGAACCAAGGCACAGAGGUGCGCUGUCCUUCCCACUCUGUCCAGUUCCACUGCACCUCCCAGUGUGACUCUCACUUUGGAAGAUGGGAUGGAGCUGAAGGCACGUGCUGAAGGAUUCAUUCAGACGAUUUGUAUGGCAUGGGGACAGUUAAGAGGCAGCCUGCAUUUCUCCUGCGCCCGAGGACUGACGCCCAGUCCCACAAGCCAACGGCCAACAGAGCAGGACGUAAAUUCAUGCUGCUUGGCCAGGUGGCCUGACUUACAGCUGCUCUAACAGCCCGGCUGCCUGAUGUAAAUGACAGGCUCUGAACGGACUGCCUCUUGAGGUGAGCUGUGCUUGUCAGAGUGCGAUCAGUCAUCCUGUGUGUGUUUGGUCUUUUGCUGUGUUUUGGAACACCGAGCAGCAAAAGGCAAUUGAAAAGAGGAGGCAGGUGAUUAGGGGCUGACAGGGAUGUCUUGCAAAAGAGGGAGAGAACAGAAAAGCUCGGUCUUGCUAUUUUCAAGGGUGACAGGAGGAGUAGGAGUGGGUGAUAGGACAUUUUGGGAUCCACUAGGACUGUUUAGGGGCAAGAGAAGGGGGAGGCCUUGUGCGAGAGGAGGGAAGGGAAUGUGGGAGAUAAUUGAGAAAUGGCAGAGGUGGAAAGUUUCCUGAAAACACAGGAGAAGUAGGGAGCAUGAGCUGCUUGACAGCAGCCAUGGGAGGAGUGUAGAGCCAAGCCUGCGCUGGAAAUUCAUGAGUGGAAUAUCCCUGCUUUAAAACUUGUAUUGCAUUCCUGAAGAAGAAUACAUGGAAGAUAAAAAUGCCUUGCCAGACAUGGCAGUCAUGUACGUGUGUGCUUUUUGAGGGCUUUUUCUGCCAGGAGGCAAGAGGUCCUAAGGAUGCUAAAUAAUUAAAGUCUUCUUAAGAAGAAAUACAGUUGUCAAAUAUGAGGAGGUGUCGUGAGCAUCACCUGCAGGGGGCACUUCUGGAAGACAGCCUGUGGAAGUUCAGAGGGAACAGGUUAUCCCAGUUUGUUGGCAUGGGGCAGAAUAAGGGGAAAGCUCGGGCUGUCCUGAGUUUCCCUGUUCGUGAGAUACGUUUGUUUUCCGCUAAGUAACAGUUCAGUGUGUGAAAGAAGGGAUCUUUUAUUAUAAAAAUUGCUGUGGAGGAAAUUCCAGAUGUUUAUGAGGUGAAGUGAUAUGGUUGAUACACUGUGACCCUCAGCCUGGUCUGAGACUAGGGAGAUUUCAUGACUGACUGUCCUCUCCAAAAAUAGAGUAGGUCAGUCAAAGCC
RNAcentral lists this long non-coding RNA (1342 nucleotides) under Anas platyrhynchos platyrhynchos (common mallard). RNAcentral's name for it is "lncRNA (ENSAPLG00000018402.1)". Lineage: Eukaryota; Metazoa; Chordata; Aves; Anseriformes; Anatidae. The record is from RNAcentral.